RNAcentral lists this long non-coding RNA (1534 nucleotides) under Lepidothrix coronata (blue-crowned manakin). RNAcentral describes it as "lncRNA (ENSLCOG00000011195.1)". The record is from RNAcentral. Lineage: Eukaryota; Metazoa; Chordata; Aves; Passeriformes; Pipridae.
UUUUCUUCUGCUGAAAAGCUAAUUUAUUCUGAGCUCUUGGUUUUUUUUGUUCAUGUGCCUAAUGUAUGUUUUGAGGAGAAGUUAACUGCAAGUUGUUAAAGCGCCUUUUGAUUCUGCCAUCAAACCAAAUAGCCACAGGCAGCCAGCACUGGUGCAAGUAGCCUAGCUGGAGUCAUUGUUGAACGUGAAUGCAGCUGUCCCAUAGCACUUGUACAGGAGUCUCUGUUGAAAGUGCAACAACUUUCUACAGAUUCGAGGGUUGGAAUCUGACCCCUGGUUGUACUGACACUUGUGUGCUUUGUAGAGCUGUGAACUGAUAUUCCUUUGGUCUUGCUCCGAGUGGGCUGUGUCCACGCUGGUGUAUGGCCUUGUUCCGAGCUGUGGAGGAUGCGAAGGAAUCUGGAGAGACUGCUGCUUCUUUCUGCUCUCGACCCUCUCUCCCUGCUCCCCUCCAUUUUCAAGCUUUCUAAAGGGCAAUAUUUCAACACUAAUGUUGUUUCUCAGACCAUCAGCCCAGGCCCUGCGGCGCUCGGCCACGGUCCCAGAGCGGGUGCGGGACCUGCACCGGGGCCUCUGUGCCGCAGGGUGUGCAGUGGUGGCUCUGGACCCAGGGGAGCGUGUGGCUGCCAGAUGGGAAUAUGUGGAUGGGCUGCUCCUGCCACCUGCCCAGCGAGGAUGAGGAUGGAGCAAGGCAGGAGGAGGAUGGGCUGCUGCUCCCAGCUGCUGAAGGGGAAACCUCUGUCCCUGGUGUGUCAUCUGUAGGUGGCCCCCUGGGCUAGGAGAGCUGCUCCAGCUGCCGUGGGUGCAGGCACCAUGCCCGUGGCUGCUGGGCUGCCCAGUCUCAGGUCAAAGGGGGUGCAAAAUGCUUUAGUGGUCCAGCGUGUCCUCUCAGCUGAAGAACAGGGAAGAAUGGAAGACAAUGUUGUUGGAGCUCUCCGAGGGCAUUUCCACUGCAGACUGUGAUCCUCCUGCUCCAUCGAGCCCUUGGAUUGGUGCAGCAGGGGCUGGGUCAAGCUUCACAAACUCACCUUUCAACACAGUUUUUGAUUCACAAGGUUUUUUCCUCUUCUCCUCCCUCUUCCAUGCAUGUUUUUGCAUGGAGGGGACUGUUGGCACAGGUCAGCAGUAUUGUUGGUGCAUGCCCCGUGCUCCUUCAGUGCUCACCGAGGGGGGAGUUGCCCAUGAAUCCCCCUUGGUCCCCAAAUCUCCAAAUCGGCCAUCCUGAUCUCCCAUUGCCCGGCUUUGGUUACAGAAAUGCUGAUGGUGUGUUUGCCAACAGCUGUGCUGCAUCACCCGUUGCCCCCACGGGUCCCUGGGCCUCUGGGGACUCAUGGCCCCUGCCAGCCCCUGCCAUGCAGCUUUGGUCUGUGUUUCUGUCCAUCCUGCUGGGAAAGGCAAGCCAGAGCCAAGCCCCUGGGUGCUGAGCUGAGGAGCUGGUGGCUGUGCUGGGCAGUCACGCACAUAUCACGUACCAGAGGCAUUGCUUCACUUCUUGUGUAGAAAUGGGGAUGGCAGAUGUCGUAUUAAAUCAUGG